Diceros bicornis minor is the source of this 531-nucleotide long non-coding RNA. RefSeq lists it as uncharacterized. The record is from RefSeq and is a predicted model, not a curated record. The transcript has 3 exons. NCBI's taxonomy places the organism in Eukaryota, Metazoa, Chordata, Mammalia, Perissodactyla, Rhinocerotidae.
UCAGCACUCCACUGACAAGGGAACCACAGCCACCAGCACCACGGGGCAGGGAGCAGCUGGAGACUCAUCCAACACACACGCUGUGCAAGCCCCGCCCUGGGCACAGGAGACAUCCAGCAGAUUCCACUGCACAGGUGGGAAAAAUGAAGCUCAACAGUAUGAAGCCACCUGCCCAGGAUCAUACAGCUGGCAAAGGGUGUGGGAUCAAACCCACAUUGUUCUGACUCCUGAGCCUGUAUGUAGAAUUCACCACCGCAAUGUCCUGCCUCCACAUAUCAUGCUGCACUGUGGAGCACAGAGCAGGGAACGACUAACCCUUCCCAGAGCAGGUUUUGUGAGCCACAGAAGUUGAAAAUCCCCGGAAAUCACACCCUAGAACUAUGUAAAUAUUAUGACGAAAUUGCUACUAUGUCUGUUUUACAAUGUCCCUGAAAGCAGUGCUUCUAGAACCAACUGUGGGGAAGGAUCAGUUUUUAAGAACUUCUAAUCCGUCACAGACCAAUACUUCUAUAAAAUACAAGGAAAAUGAAU